CCUACGGGGUGCUGCAGUGGGGAAUAUUGGACAAUGGGCGAAAGCCUGAUCCAGCCAUGCCGCGUGUGUGAAGAAGGCCUUCGGGUUGUAAAGCACUUUCAGUGGGGAAGAAAGCCUUGGGGCUAAUACCCUCGAGGAAGGACAUCACCCACAGAAGAAGCACCGGCUAACUCCGUGCCAGCAGCCGCGGUAAUACGGAGGGUGCGAGCGUUAAUCGGAAUUACUGGGCGUAAAGCGCGCGUAGGCGGUCUGAUAAGCCGGUUGUGAAAGCCCCGGGCUCAACCUGGGAACGGCAUCCGGAACUGUCAGGCUAGAGUGCAGGAGAGGAAGGUAGAAUUCCCGGUGUAGCGGUGAAAUGCGUAGAGAUCGGGAGGAAUACCAGUGGCGAAGGCGGCCUUCUGGACUGACACUGACGCUGAGGUGCGAAAGCGUGGGUAGCAAACAGGAUUAGAUACCCUUAGUAGUC
This 466-nucleotide ribosomal RNA is filed under the name Vreelandella stevensii. RNAcentral's name for it is "partial 16S ribosomal RNA". It matches the Rfam family "Bacterial small subunit ribosomal RNA", at positions 338 to 795 of the family's 1533-position model. Lineage: Bacteria; Pseudomonadati; Pseudomonadota; Gammaproteobacteria; Oceanospirillales; Halomonadaceae. The record is from RNAcentral.